Molecule: long non-coding RNA, 245 nt
Filed under: Lathyrus oleraceus (garden pea)
Lineage: Eukaryota; Viridiplantae; Streptophyta; Magnoliopsida; Fabales; Fabaceae
Description: Pisum sativum (pea) long non-coding RNA (PSAT_LNC024576)
Source: RNAcentral
UGGCCUUUUCACAAAAAGUGAGAGUGACAUAAUGUGAGUGGUGUCACUUUCUAGCUGCCAGAAGAUCUAAUCGCUUCACAGACUUUUCUUUUCUUUAUACUUCUUUUUCUAAUUUUUUUUGUGUUAAUUUCUUUUCUUUAUUUUCAAAUGAAGUGAGAGGUCAUGGUCCAUGGGAACUUUGAUGGGACAAUUGCGAGCCAUCGAUUAUCUUGAUUCAAUGAUCAAGAGUUAACACUAGAAUUAGA